GAUGAACGCUGGCGGCGUGCUUAACACAUGCAAGUCGAACGGUGAAGCAUAGCUUCAUCUGUGGAUCCGUGGCGAACGGGUGAGUAACACGUGAGCAACUUGCCUCUGACACUGGGAUAAGCGCUGGAAACGGCGUCUAAUACUGGAUAUGAGCUGUGACCGCCUGGUCUGCUGUUUGAAAGAUUACUCGUUCUGGGAUGGUCUCACGGCCUAUCCGCGUGUUAGUGAGGUAAUGGCUCACCAAGGCGUCGACGGGUAGCCCGGCUGAGAGGGUGACCAGGCACACUGGGACUGUGACACGCCGCAGUCUCCUACGGGGGGGAGAGGUGGGGAGAAUAGCACAAUGGGCGGGAGCCUGAUGCAGAGACGCCGCGUGAGGAAGAACGGCCUUCGGGGUGUAAACCGCUUUUAGCAGAGAAGAAGCGAAAGUGACGGUACCUGCAGAAGAAGCGCCGGCUAACUACGUG
RNAcentral lists this ribosomal RNA (467 nucleotides) under uncultured bacterium. Its description in RNAcentral is "partial 16S ribosomal RNA". It matches the Rfam family "Bacterial small subunit ribosomal RNA", at positions 28 to 507 of the family's 1533-position model. The record is from RNAcentral.